CUAAGAAAAAUCUAGAUGAUGAAGGGAGUAGAAAAAUCUAGAAACCAUAAUACAACAACUAUAAAUAGGUUGUAUGUGCAUAAGUUUGGGGUGAGCCAAUCAAGAGAGCUCCCACAAAAACCAUGAGUGAGGGGUAGAAAGAAGGGUUCUACCAAAGAGAUAAGUGAGAGACAUGAGCUCUCGCAAAUAUUGUUGUACAUCAAUUUUUAUCCAUAUAAUCAAUGAUGAAAAUACAAUUUUGAUAUAUUAUUCGGGUCCAUCAAAACUUCCGCGUGCGUCCUCAAAUUUCUAUCAGAUUUUUCUACACUUGUCAUAUAUCUAGAUUUUUUUUUACUAGAUUUUUCUUAGGAUAAUUCUAGAAAUUUUCCUACUCGAUUUUUACAAACAUAUUAUCUAGAUUUUUCUAGAUUAAUAUUUCAACAGAGUUCAGGAUUAUCCAAUUACCAUAUGGAGGUUUUGGAGUUGCUUCUGUGUUCAAAUACUAUUCAACCUUUAAACUUUGCUCUUUGAAUGGAAAUUUAUGCGCAUGGGGAAAGUUAGUGAUAGGAUUAAUUAAGCAGGAAAUCCAAAUGAUGAAGUAUUAGAUAUGUGGAUGCUCAAACACUAUGGGGUUUCUGAGUGUUGGAUCAAAGUAUUUCAAUUGGACCCCGGGCAUUAUAUUCAAGAAUUAUUUUGAUUCCCUUGUUCAAGCAAAGUUCUGGUUAUGACUGAGGAUCAAAAUGUAAUGAUUAUGGAUUUUGAAUCAAGUCCACUCCAAGUGUUCAAGAUUGAUGAUCGGCUUACCAGAUACAACAAACCGGCAAAAGAUUCUGUGUGUAAUUUUGGCUAAAGAGCCGGCACCUGAUGUUAAUCUGGCUGCACUUGCAAAUAUGGCGGAUGGUUACUCUGGAAGUGACUUGAAGAAUCUUUAAUGUCUCAUCCGAGAAGUAUUGGUGACAGAGAAGAAGACAAAGACAGUUUCUGUAUGGUAUUUUUGUUGAUCUGAAAUACGCAUAGUCAUGUGAGUUGUUAAUUAGUUGCAUCAGCUGAAAAACUCUUAUUAUGUAUGUGAUUCUGAUAAUCUUUGAAACUAGUCCGUAUUUGGCAAGGGAAAAAAAUACGUCUACGUGUUUUGAGUGUUAGUGCUCAACAUGUAUAACAUAUAAUCGUACUGUAUAUUUUUGUUGAGAUAUGUCAUAUCUGGAGGGAAUUCUAUUUAGUCUUUUGUUUUAUAUUUUAAUAUUUAUGGUUGGCUUGUUUGCAUGAGAAAGCUUUAGCAAUUAGCAUUAACAAAGAACAGAUUACCUGUAUUAUACAGUGGGGAUCAUGAGCCACUUUAAGAAGAAGAGCGAAGAGGUAAUCUAUCCGAUCCGAUCCACUCCAUGAGUAGUUAGCAAGUUAGUAGUUUCAAAAAUGCGGUUCAAUACUAAUGGUGGCAUGUAUCAUCUAUCACAGUAUCAUGUAUGUCAUAUCUGUGAUAACAUAAUAAAACCCGUGAGGCUAUGCUUAAUACGCAUUGUUACUUGGUACUUUGUAUUACUGUUAGAAUAGAAUUUGAGUUAUACUAAUGACUUUUGUUUGAUAAUACCUAUUAAAUUCUCAUCUUAUGUAACUUGGUCCAUUUGAGGUGGUGUCUCUUUAACCACAAAGGUCUCGUAGAACUAGCAUUAGCUAAUCAUGAUUCAUGCAUUUGUGUUGUACAAUAUCUUCCAUAACAUAAU
This is a long non-coding RNA of Spinacia oleracea (spinach), 1700 nucleotides long. RefSeq lists it as uncharacterized. NCBI's taxonomy places the organism in Eukaryota, Viridiplantae, Streptophyta, Magnoliopsida, Caryophyllales, Amaranthaceae. The record is from RefSeq and is a predicted model, not a curated record. The transcript has 3 exons.